RNAcentral lists this long non-coding RNA (542 nucleotides) under Papio anubis (olive baboon). Its description in RNAcentral is "lncRNA (ENSPANG00000048975.1)". Lineage: Eukaryota; Metazoa; Chordata; Mammalia; Primates; Cercopithecidae. The record is from RNAcentral.
AGCAAAGCUUGAGGGAGGAGAACACAGCUGAGUCAGAGCUUAUCCAUCAUUGGUUGCUGAGCCUCACUGAGAGUAUGUUGUCUGCUGAGAACAAGAUUUACCUGGAGACUGAAAAUUGAAUUGAUCAUGGGUGAGGCAAGUUAGUAAGGUAAAUUCCCCAAACUGGAAUUUACACCAUGCACUCUCAUUGAAUUACACCACCAGCUUUCCUGGGCCUACAGGUUGCGGACAGCAGGUCAUGGGACAUCUCAGCCUCCAUAAUCAUGAGUGGGAAGAAAAAGAAAAAACAAUUGUUCUCCUUGGUGUGUUGGAUCUUGGGCGGAUAAAGGAACUUCAACUCCUUCGGUGAGAUGGUAGCAGCAGAGAGGUCAGAGAGACCUUGAGGCUUUGUCUUCAGUUGAGCAUGUCAAAACACCAUAUUUUGAUGUUUCUGAGUCCCAACAUGGGAAGUAAGAAGUGUGUUCUACAUUUAGAAUAGAGAAAAAUGUAAUAAAAUUUAAGAAGUACCUACAUAUAUAAGCUACAAUUUUAUUAAAGUGCUG